AGAGUUUGAUCCUGGCUCAGGAUGAACGCUGGCGGCGUGCUUAACACAUGCAAGUCGAACGAACCUUCGGGUUAGUGGCGGACGGGUGAGUAACGCGUGGGAAUCUGCCCUCAGGAGGGGGAUAACGGUUGGAAACGACCGCUAAUACCCCAUAUGCCGAGAGGUGAAAUGAAUUUCGCCUGAGGAUGAGCCCGCGUCUGAUUAGCUUGUUGGUGAGGUAAUGGCUCACCAAGGCAUCGAUCAGUAGCUGGUCUGAGAGGAUGAUCAGCCACACUGGGACUGAGACACGGCCCAGACUCCUACGGGAGGCAGCAGUGGGGAAUUUUCCGCAAUGGGCGAAAGCCUGACGGAGCAACGCCGCGUGAGGGACGAAGGCCUCUGGGCUGUAAACCUCUUUUCUCAAGGAAGAAGAUAUGACGGUACUUGAGGAAUAAGCCACGGCUAAUUCCGUGCCAGCAGCCGCGGUAAUACGGGAGUGGCAAGCGUUAUCCGGAAUUAUUGGGCGUAAAGCGUCCGCAGGCGGCCCUUCAAGUCUGCUGUUAAAACGUGGAGCUCAACUCCAUCAUGGCAGUGGAAACUGAUUGGCUUGAGUAUGGUAGGGGCAGAGGGAAUUCCCGGUGUAGCGGUGAAAUGCGUAGAUAUCGGGAAGAACACCAGUGGCGAAGGCGCUCUGCUGGGCCAUUACUGACGCUCAUGGACGAAAGCCAGGGGAGCGAAAGGGAUUAGAUACCCCUGUAGUCCUGGCCGUAAACGAUGAACACUAGGUGUCGGGGGAAUCGACCCCUUCGGUGUCGUAGCUAACGCGUUAAGUGUUCCGCCUGGGGAGUACGCACGCAAGUGUGAAACUCAAAGGAAUUGACGGGGGCCCGCACAAGCGGUGGAGUAUGUGGUUUAAUUCGAUGCAACGCGAAGAACCUUACCAGGGCUUGACAUCCUGCGAACCUUUAAGAAAUUAGAGGGUGCCUUCGGGAACGCAGUGACAGGUGGUGCAUGGCUGUCGUCAGCUCGUGUCGUGAGAUGUUGGGUUAAGUCCCGCAACGAGCGCAACCCACGUUUUUAGUUGCCAGCAUUUAGUUGGGCACUCUAGAAAGACCGCCGGUGAUAAACCGGAGGAAGGUGUGGAUGACGUCAAGUCAUCAUGCCCCUUACGUCCUGGGCUACACACGUACUACAAUGCUACGGACAAAGGGCAGCAAACUCGCGAGAGCUAGCAAAUCCCAUAAACCGUGGCUCAGUUCAGAUCGUAGGCUGCAACUCGCCUACGUGAAGCAGGAAUCGCUAGUAAUCGCAGGUCAGCAUACUGCGGUGAAUACGUUCCCGGGCCUUGUACACACCGCCCGUCACACCAUGGAAGUUGGCCAUGCCCGAAGUCGUUACUUUAACCCUUGUGGAGAAGGACGCCGAAGGUGGGGCUGAUGACUGGGGUGAAGUCGUAACAAGGUAGCCGUACCGGAAGGUGCGGCUG
RNAcentral lists this ribosomal RNA (1465 nucleotides) under Prochlorococcus sp. AG-402-I05. Its description in RNAcentral is "bacterial SSU rRNA". It matches the Rfam family "Bacterial small subunit ribosomal RNA". Lineage: Bacteria; Bacillati; Cyanobacteriota; Cyanophyceae; Synechococcales; Prochlorococcaceae. The record is from RNAcentral.